This 163-nucleotide non-coding RNA is filed under the name Colius striatus (speckled mousebird). Its description in RNAcentral is "Eukaryotic large subunit ribosomal RNA". It matches the Rfam family "Eukaryotic large subunit ribosomal RNA", at positions 2193 to 2320 of the family's 3401-position model. The record is from Rfam by way of RNAcentral. Lineage: Eukaryota; Metazoa; Chordata; Aves; Coliiformes; Coliidae.
GAUUUCUGCCUAGUGCUCUGAAUGUCAAAGUGAAUAAAUUCAAUGAAGCGCAGGUAAACGGCAGGAGUAACUAUGACUUUCUUAAGACAGGAUCAUAGUUACAACCUGGGCUCAGCUGUAGUGACCAUACCUCCCUGCAAUCCCGCAGGAAGCCUGCCUGAGU